This 3869-nucleotide long non-coding RNA is filed under the name Homo sapiens (human). Its description in RNAcentral is "HSALNT0211410". The record is from RNAcentral. Lineage: Eukaryota; Metazoa; Chordata; Mammalia; Primates; Hominidae.
CAUACUCUAAUUGCAGGAUAAAUACCAUGAGUAAUUAAUUGCUUGAGUGCAACUUUUGCAACCAGUUGUUCUAUAGUUAUAACAAAGAUCACCUUCUUCCAUUAAUCUUUACCUAGAAAGAGUAAAAAGUCACAAAAGCUAAUGAUUUAUGCUCAACCUUGUCUCUGCCCAUCCUCACCUGCUCAGGAGAUGUUAAUUAAACUGCCUAUAUUAGCUCCCCUGAGCUGCUUCCAUGUUACACUUUUUUAUCCCCUUCCUGAAUCUGGUUCCUUUAAAAGGCUUUCAGUUUUUUCACGUAGGGGAUCACCCCUCACAAGGCAUUCUGAGGCAUAGCCUUUAUUUUAAAGGUCAAAUUUCAUUUCUUUAAAAGCUCUACACUUUUAUUUUUCUAUUCCCAACAAUACAGUAUUCAUAAGGAACCAGAGGUUUCUUCAUCUAAGGAUCCAGAAGUAAUGAUCUACAAAACUUCAUGUGUAAAUCACCAAUUCCUACCAUAGCAAAACCUGUGCUCAAAAUCAUUUCUGCUGGCCUUGCUCCGUGUUCCAUCUUCUGAGACGCUGGCAUACUCUGGGUGGCAAUGCAAACCUCUCCAGGUAGCCAAGCUGGGGCUUCACUGCCACCUGCUCCCAUCUCCCUCCCGUCUGAGCCCCUCCUUUCCUCUCAAAGGUGACCCAUAUUCCAGGGGCAGCGGGCUGGCAGCCCCUCUUGAUGAGCUUCAGUGACUUCCACACAGGACUCUUCACUCCAAUGCUGUCACUGAGAAUAAGUCUGUGACUCAUGUCAGGGAGCACUUAUACCUAGAGGACCAAUUAUUACAGCUGUGCAUGGACUCCUAUUAUUAAGGUCAGAGGCCAGACUUCCCAAUGAAAGGCUGCCUUUGGUCCAGGGGACAUGCCCAGUCCCUUCACGCCCCGGGCUGUGAACUGAUCUUAUUCUCAUUUGCAUCCUCUUGGGGCAGAAUUCAGACAGGCUGUGAAUGAUGAUGAAAAUCAAUCAAGGCAACUUUCAGCAACUGAGGAGUCCAUAUACGUCCACAGAGGCCAACAUACAAGCUUCCCCUUAAUCAAAAAACAACAACAACAACAACAACAACAGAGGGUCAAGCAGGGAUCCGGACAGCAACUUCCACAAUCAGAGACUCAGGAGACUCCUGGAGUCAGCCCUGCCCACUUGCCUCUGAGAGCCAUUGUCUAGGAAUGCAGACAGGACACGGUUUCCCCACAAGGAUGCGGCUCUGAGAACCAGGCUCCUGGAAUAUUGCCUCCCGGCAGCCCCCUCCCCACCAUGCCCUCUGAGAUACCCCCUGGGUGAGCCUACAACCCUGACUGCUGUCUACCCAGCAGGGGUGGCUUCUGCUCGCCCUGCCAUCCAAGGGAAGGGGCUGCAGGCACCAACGUCAGACAGAGGCCUGAGCAGAAAUACAGAGAGCUUGCAGACAGGAUGGGGGAACUACACCACACUGAGACCUGACCACAGCCUGGAAAUUCAACCACACUCUCCAAUUACCUUGGGGAGGUCUCCAUGUGCCUUAGAACACAGCAGAAAGAGCACUAGCCUUGGAGUCAGACAGACCCAGUCUUGCACCCGGCUCUCUGUCACCUGGAACAAGCUACUGAAUGUCUCUAAGUUCAGGGCGAGUAUCCACUUCAUGAGUGUUUUGGCAGAUUCAUGAUAUUGCAUGUGACACGUGAUAUUGCAUAAAACCCGACUAUUUUUCUCUAUCUCGGAAACCUACUGUUGACACUGAACCUAUUGCAAUUGUAAUUUUAUUAGUUUGCAAUUUACUUGCAUUUACUGUUAUUGUUGUUGCUGUUUAUAUCCCUCACCAGACUAUAAAAUCCAUGAGAGCACAGACCAUAGCUGCCUUGCUCACAUGCAUUCCAGAAGCUAGCACAUAAUAGGUACUCAAGAACACUAUUUUCUGUAAAAUGUAUAUCCACCCAAUAAAAAUUAGUUUCUCUUCCUCUCUUGGCUCUGCAGAGAAGUCAAAUAUUCCUGACCUAGCCAUCAAAGCUGGGUGGUUGGAUAUUCAUUGCAGCAUUUAUACCCCAAACUCCUGAGAAAGGAGACUGAGGAAACCAGGAGGCACUGCUGAUCACUAGAAACAGUUCCAGUGUUUAUCUAAUGGGAUACUACUAAGUCACACCCCCAGGAGCCACUUUAGAAAGAGACAAUAAACCGCCUCCCUCUGCCAGGACCAAGCAGAGAGAUGCUGCCUCUGCCCCAUCUCCCAGGAGCCUCAGCAAAGGCCCUCCGGCCCAGGGGUGGGCUGCUGGGGUGAGCAAAGCUUCCAGUAAUUGCAACACAGUUUCUUCAAGAGAUGGAAGGAAAAGCAUUUCAAUAAUAAGCAAAGGAGAGGGAAAAUCAAUAAGGAUGUGUGUAAUGAAUUUUUGUUUCCUGAAAUAGCCUGGCAGGAGCCUUGCCAGGAAGAGUUAGGACUAAUCAGUGACAAGAUGAGAGACACAAAUCCAAGAAUAUUAUUCAGCUCUGCAGCCUCCCUGGGUGAAAGAAUGUCAGGGUAAGGAAUUGCAAAGAGCUUAGCCUAUUGUCCAGAAACAUAGGAGAAUCUGGACAAAGGUAACAAUAGCACUUCUACUUGUUUGGGAAGAAACCUGCACUUCUCUGGAAUUUGAGGGGGGUUCUGAGCAGGUUGGACAAAUGGUAACAUUUUCUUUAACCCUCAAGUCAACCACCCCAUCAUCAACACUACAUAAAAGACUAAAUACGGGGCUAUUGCGGGCUGCGUGAUGGUGAUGAGCAAACUGCAACUCUGCCAUUCACUAAUCAUUCACUGUGUAGUCUUGGGUAGGUUACUUAAAACCUCUGAGCCUCAGUUUCCUUCUAUAAAAUAGGGAUCUAAGAAUUCCCAGGUUGUAAAACUGUUGUGAAGAUUAAAUGAGGUAGAAUGUCAAUCACAGCUCAGUGCCUGACACAGGGUAAGCUCCCAAUAAGUGGUUGCUGUUAUUGUCACCAUUACGGUUAAAUAAUCCCAUGUUGCUGUGCGUCCUUGUUAAGAUCACUGAAGCUUCUGCUAGACUGCAUGCCCUUGACAGGAGAGGACCACAUUUUCAUCCUAGAAUACCCUGUACCUGGAAGAGCCAAUAGAUGUAGAAAUAAGGACAAAGUGAUUCUCACUUUCAUAAUCUCCUCUGAACAUCUGAGAUUGUGUGUGUGUUUGUGUGUGUGUGUGUGUGUGUCCCCUGACAAAUGGAGAGAAUUCCCUUACAGGGAUUUAAGUGUCUAACAACUCACUCACCUAUGACAGAGCAAUUAGCCUUGUAUUAGCACUUCUUAAAACCACUCUGAAGUAUUUUCACUUUUUGCCAUAAUUAUGUACAACGUAGUAAAGUGGCUCUGAAGCAUACUAAUUAUCAUCUUUUCUGUAACUACAUUUUUACAUCAACUUUAUUGAGGCACAAUUUACAUAUAAUAAAAUAGACGCACUCUGGUGUACGGUUUGGUGAGUUUUGAUAAAUGUCUACACUCAGGUAACUACUACCUAAAUCACGAUGUAAAAACUUUCCACCACGCAAAUGGGCUCCUUUGUGCCCUUUCCCAGUCAAUCCCCACCUCCACCUCCAGCCCCAGAUAACCACUAGCACAUCUGUUGUAGAUGGGAUGAGUCUUUUCUAGAGUUUUAUUUAAAUGGAAACAUGCCAUAUUUAGUCUUUUAUGUCUGGACUCUUUUGCUCAACAGAACGUGUUUGAAAUUCAUUCAUUUAGCUGCAUGUAUUAUCAAUAGUAUAUUUCCUUCUUAUCGCUAAGCAGUAUUCCAUUGUAUGAAUAUAUUACAUUUUAAAAAAAUCUGUUCACCUAUUGAUUAACUCUUUGGGUUGUUUCCAAUUUUUAACUAUUAUGAAUAAAGCCAC